RNAcentral lists this ribosomal RNA (914 nucleotides) under uncultured marine archaeon. RNAcentral describes it as "bacterial SSU rRNA". It matches the Rfam family "Archaeal small subunit ribosomal RNA", at positions 1 to 921 of the family's 1478-position model. The record is from RNAcentral.
UUCCGGUUGAUCCCGCCGGACCUGACUGCUAUCGGAUUGAUACUAAGCCAUGCGAGUCUUUGUAGUAAUACAAGGCAGACGGCUCAGUAACACGUAGUCAACCUACCCUAUGGACGAGAAUAAUCUCGGGAAACUGAGCAUAAUUCUUGAUAGAUCAUAAUGCCUGGAAUGGUUUAUGGUUAAAAUGAUUCGUCGCCAUAGGAUGGGACUGCGGCCUAUCAGCUUGUUGGUGAGGUAAUGGCCCACCAAGGCGAUUACAGGUACGGGCUCUGAGAGGAGAAGCCCGGAGAUGGGUACUGAGACACGGACCCAGGCCCUAUGGGGCGCAGCAGGCGAGAAAACUUUGCAAUGUGCGAAAGCACGACAAGGUUAAUCCGAGUGAUUUCUGCUAAAGAAAUCUUUUGCCAGUCGUAAAAACGCUGGUGAAUAAGGGGUGGGCAAGUUCUGGUGUCAGCCGCCGCGGUAAAACCAGCACCUCAAGUGGUCAGGAUGAUUAUUGGGCCUAAAGCAUCCGUAGCCGGCUUUGUAAGUUUUCGGUUAAAUCCAUGUGCUCAACGCAUGGGCUGCCGAAAAUACUGCAUAGCUAGGGAGUGGAAGAGGUAGACGGUACUCAGUAGGUAGGGGUAAAAUCCUUUGAUCUAUUGAUGACCACCUGUGGCGAAGGCGGUCUACCAGAACACGUUCGACGGUGAGGGAUGAAAGCUGGGGGAGCAAACCGGAUUAGAUACCCGGGUAGUCCCAGCUGUAAACGAUGCAGACUCGAUGAUGCAUUGGCAUAAUAGCCAUUGCAGUGUCGCAGGGAAGCCGUUAAGUCUGCCGCCUGGGAAGUACGUACGCAAGUAUGAAACUUAAAGGAAUUGGCGGGGGAGCACCACAAGGGGUGAAGCCUGCGGUUCAAUUGGAUUCAACGCCGG